Molecule: transfer RNA, 72 nt
Filed under: Marmota marmota marmota (Alpine marmot)
Lineage: Eukaryota; Metazoa; Chordata; Mammalia; Rodentia; Sciuridae
Also listed under: 1 other name
Rfam family: tRNA
About the family: Transfer RNA (tRNA) molecules are approximately 80 nucleotides in length. Their secondary structure includes four short double-helical elements and three loops (D, anti-codon, and T loops). Further hydrogen bonds mediate the characteristic L-shaped molecular structure. tRNAs have two regions of fundamental functional importance: the anti-codon, which is responsible for specific mRNA codon recognition, and the 3' end, to which the tRNAs corresponding amino acid is attached (by aminoacyl-tRNA synthetases). tRNAs cope with the degeneracy of the genetic code in two manners: having more than one tRNA (with a specific anti-codon) for a particular amino acid; and 'wobble' base-pairing, i.e. permitting non-standard base-pairing at the 3rd anti-codon position.
Source: Rfam by way of RNAcentral
UGGGCUGUGGCUCAGUGGCAGAGCCCUUGCCUAGCAUGUGUGAGGCACUGGGUUCGAUCCUCAGCUGUCCAU